This 158-nucleotide ribosomal RNA is filed under the name Capitofimbria sp. RNAcentral's name for it is "partial large subunit ribosomal RNA". It matches the Rfam family "Eukaryotic large subunit ribosomal RNA", at positions 99 to 261 of the family's 3401-position model. The record is from RNAcentral. Lineage: Eukaryota; Fungi; Ascomycota; Sordariomycetes; Hypocreales; Stachybotryaceae.
CGGCAACAGCUCAAAUUUGAAAUCUGGCCUUUGGCCCGAGUUGUAAUUUGUAGAGGAUGCUUUUGACAAGGUGCCUUCCGAGUUCCCUGGAACGGGACGCCAUAGAGGGUGAGAGCCCCGUCUGGUCGGAUACCGCGUCUCUGUAAAGCUCCUUCGAC